UUGGUUUUUAAUAUCCUUGCUUUGCUGGCUACGUAAUCACCUGUAACGUAUUUCACUUCAGCUUGCUGGACCUCUUUUGUUGAAUUAAUUUAUUAAAACAAGGUGAAUAUUUUUCUUCUCUGCAUGUUAUAAAACGUGAUCUCACUUAAUGUUCUGUAUGAGAAGAUUGCUCUGCUAUCAGAGGCAGGGUACACAAAGAGCAGCAACUAUAAUGUGAAUUGCUGAGAGAAGGAAAGAUGCCUCAAAAUAGAUAAUGCCAAAUUAAAAAUAACCACAAGAUAGCCAUGCUUAUCUAUGCCACAGACAAAUCAAAAAUCCCUAAUCCAGCCCCCUCCCUAAUAGAGCAAGUUAUCUGUACUGAAACUUUUUCUUAGCCUGAUUUUUGAGUCAUGGAAAUAGGUAAGACUUAGAUGAAGUUACUGCGUUUCACAUCACUGAGAUGGGCAGAGCACUCAUCUCCCUGCUUUCAGCUGAGUCUGCUGGAAAGCUACCACCAGUCCCAGCAAGCAUUUUUUUAAAAAGCUGGGUUUUUUGCAAAAAUAAGGGCUCAGCCUGCAGGAGUGCAAGCCUGAACUUGUAAAUCAUCCCUUUGAUGCCAAGAGGUGGUAAACUGAACCUCUACCUCCCUCAAGCACCUACUAGGCAAGUAAACAAAUUAUGAUGGUAGCUCAUGUCUUGCUGAGCUGAGUCUGUGACCUCCAUCUAGCCAAGUAAAGGAGCAGUGUUAUUAGCUAACAUAUUGCCCUGUUCCUCACCUCCAGAUGUUGGUAUAAUUUUUUACAACGUAUAUCCAAAAAACCUAUUACUUGGAUGUGUAUUUAGUCUUAAAAAAAAAAAAGACAAAAAUAGAUAGUAACACUUAAAUAUAGUUGUGAUUGGUGCCUGAAAAGCCACCAAAACCAGAAUAUUCAGGGCUUCCCAUCUGAAAAGCUCUCUUCUUCCCCAUCAUGAAAUAAAAGAUAGUAAAAAUUACGGCACUAGAUCUCCUUCACUCAGGUUGACCUUUAGUUAGGAGAAUAAGCAAACAAACUAUGUGGACAAUAACCACUGUCUCUUCCUUUCUCUAAAAAAAAAAAAAAAAAAAAAAAAGGGGGGUGGGGGUGGGGGGAAGGAAUCCAACCUUGGCCAGAAAGACCACAUUCCCUCAAGACUGCAAAUCAGAAGGAAAGAUUUUCUGCUCCUUAACACUCCUGUGUGAAGGCACAUAUGAACACCCUGCUGGAAUAUGCAAUGCAGAUGACGACGGUAAAAGCAGCUCUGCGAUACCAGAGAAAUACGUUAACUCAGAGUAUUAAUUGUGAGGUGAAGGGGAGGAAGGUGAACAAAAGGUCCCUUCUUCAUGCUAUGACGCUUAUUGAUACUUCUGUUACACUUUCAUUUUGCAAGUGUUUUUCCAUCACUAGCUAUGGAGAAAGAUGUCAUUGAUGUGGCUGGCUUUGAGAUUUAGUGAACAAUUUCUAAGAGGCAGAGAAAUAGCUAUUGUGAUAUACUGGCAACUUCUAGCAGUGUAUAAGUUGCUUUUGAUCCCAUGUCCAUCCUCCAUUUUUGGUUCAUUUAUGUUGAAAGUCAACCUGUUUGUGCAGAGACUUUCCCCAUGCUUCAAAUCAGGAAAACUGGCUCAAGGAAUCCUCUAGAACUCAGCAUAUAGAACAGCCUGUGAGAAUGUUGUCAUUCUUUUUUUUUUUCCUUCUUCUAUUGUUUUCCAGAAAGAAGGGAUGGAGAGAAUAACUGCCUUAAAAUGCCAUGAAUAUUAUGAGUUUUUGUCAGUCCCAGCAGCCAUGAUAAAUAUUUGUAAAGCUUUAAAGGGAGUAGUGUAUAAAUGUACUAGGGUAGUUAAGAUAACGUACUUUCACUGAGGUGUGGUUUCCUCUUUCUGCUUACUGUGCCAGAAGGAAAGGCAGUUUUCAAAGUUCACUGGGAUUCAGUCAGGUUAAUCCUACUGAAAUAAAAGGGAGCAGAUCCCCCUGGUCGACUCAGAAGCCUCCUCCAGCACUACAAAACAUUUUCUACCGUUAAAAGCAUUCUCAAUGUCAAGUACUUUUAUUUUGGCAGCCUCCUACAGUCUCAGUUCGAAACUUGCAUUAUUAUGAAAAUAGUAUUGCUUUAUAUUUCUGUUUUGACAUGAUCCUACUUAACAGAUACUAGGAGAUUCUUAGGGGUAUCCAACCCUGAUCAUAUCUGAGGGUGUUUCCCAGCUCUCCAGGGUAUCUGAAGGAUGAAACAUUCGUUCUGUUUGUAUCCAGACAGCUGCACAAUCAUUUUGAGUUAGGAACAAAUAUAGCAAGCCACAGAUAACAACACAAAAUAUUGGUUCUUUGUUAAAGCAUAUCACUAAAAAAAAUAUAUCUCCAAAAUACUGGGGUGGGGAGAACAACAAAAACCAAAACGAUGGGGGAGGGGGAACCACACAACCCCCUCAACCUGUACCAUGGAUUUGUGCUUAGGUUACAACAGAACCUUUAGUUGCUUUCCUAAGUUUCAGCGAUGAGGAACUGGGUCUAGAACAAGUUCCUAGAUCCUAAAACUAGAAAUCAUCUUUAAUUCUUCUAGACUAACAUUCUUGACAUGGCAGCCUGCUGUGUUUCACCUAUUGUCCAUCUGCUGAGCCCUGUAACAUGUUUUUCACUGAGGCAUACAAAUGUUUUUGAUAAUUAACUCAGCGGCAUUGUAAGAUACAAAGGAAAUCUACCAUUCUGCCUGGUACUCUGCCUCAGCUCUUCAUCAUCCGUGCUGUUUAAAAUUACUGCCAACUGUUUGAAACAUCCAGAUUGUGAUAACUCUGCUAUAUUUAAGAGAGACUGAAAAGUCCCUUACUGUAUAAAUGUGCACUAACUGUGAGGAUAUGCUUUCCGUGUCUAAGUUCAGGUAACAAGUUAUUCAGACUGCCCUAGGGAGACCUGUCAUUUAUCAGUUGUGUUGUCAGAAUGUUGGGGUCUUUUUCCAAUUAAAAGUUAGUCUUGCCCCUCACUGACUCUUCCCUAAUAUGAUUAUAAACAGUAAUGAUUGUUAAAUGCUUCAUCUUGUUUGAAGUUAGCUUAAAUUAAUGUUUACUCUUUUUAAAGAUGGUUUCAAUAAAAGUAAUUUGUCAGGAUGAGUUCUGAGUCUUUGAGAUAUGGAUUUUAAAGUGUUUUAAUACAUCCUGCAAAGAACCUCUCACCUUUUAAUGUUCCAUACAAGAUCAAGGUUGAAAUGUGACCUUGGUUCACACCAUUAAGCAAGUAAAGGUUAGAGCUCUGUUCACUGUUUAAAUCAUAUUUACUAUUGAUGUUGAUUAAACCUUAUUUUUGUUUCCUUAAGUAUUAGGCUUCACAGUAAAGGAACAAUAAAAGCCUAAUAUGCUGCCAGCUUGCAAGGAGAGAAAGUAAUUGUACGCCCAAAGGCAGCCUGCUCUGGAGUUCAGAGCCAGACUCCGUGAGCUGAUUUGGGGCGAGCGUGCUUUCGUUUCUCCAGUUCAGAGAUCAGACACUGUUUAGCUGCCUCCAAGAUGCACCGUAAGGAUGCCUGUGUUAAGGCUAUACAGUAAAGGCUUACCUAUUCAAACACAGCACUCAUAGUAAUGCAAAGGUAAGCUUCCAGAACUGUAGAGCCCACUUAUCCUGCCAAGGAGGUGUACAAGAUGAAGGAUACUGCCUGCCUUUGAGGAGUUCUGGCACUGGAUGUAGUCUAUAGGAAAUAUUUUACAAAAGCAUCACCUGUUUGCCUGUGUGUGGCUUACAGACCUCUGUAUGGUUUGAGACACUGCUUGUGAGCACUGUCUUCUCAAUGCAUUGUAAGGAGGAGUUCUUUCUUUUUCUUCGGUUUAAGAGGAGUUUCUUUAAUUACAAAGGCAGUAAACAGAAAGUUGGGUUGCAAAAUACCGCUUAAAAGCGUUGCUUUCCAUUUUCCUGCACGACUGUCAACCAAGUCCCCUUCUCUGUGCACGUGCGCACAUGUUGCACCCUGACAUCUUAAUGUUCAGCUGCUGUCAUCGCCUUACUGGUGAUGUUAAUGAUUAAUGCUUUGAAAUUUUUAAAAAAUUAUUCUGCAGACCAAGUUUUUUUCCUUAAGAGCCUCUUAAAAAAAAAAAAAAAAGGGGGGGGUGGAGGUGAGUGGGUGUUUCUCAAAUACAGGAAAAUACAAGCAGGAUUGUGCAGAAACUUUCAGUUAUUAUUAUGUGUAAUGGUUUAAGAAACCAUCCAUAAAGUAUUUUUUAAACGCUGUCACAAAACUAGUUUCAAAUGUUUUAAUACAGAUGUGUGUGAAGUGUAACAUGCUAAGCAUAUCAGAAGAUAGUUAGAGAACUGUACUCAAACAGUUUCAUAACCCAGUGUUUGUUAAAUGUGUAAUUCAUCACCUGAGGUCUUGAAAAAGACUUCAAUGGCUUUGGCUUAUUUUUGGAUAUUUGGGGGGGGGGGCUAAGUGUUUCAAAAGGAAAAAAGUUAUUUAACCCGCCUCAAAAUAUUAUGGAGAAGAAAAGACUUCUUUCUUUCCCUGUAGUACCUUUCCUCCUAGUUUAACCUGUUUCAUUUUCAGCUAUAGUUACUGUAGUGCCUGGUCUUGUUGCUCUUACAUAUUUCUUACAGAAGCAGAAAAUCCGUCAAGUUUUCAGUCUUAACAUAGACUUAGAGCAGCAUUUUAUAGUCCAUCUCUUCACCUCUAAAACAGAAGUUCAUUUCUUACUGGCAUCCAAUUCUGAGGUGGCAUUUACAACUGUAAUAAAAUAAUAACUUUGGGUAAUGCCCCUGCUAUUUCACUAGCAGCCAAAUACAAGGCCUACCAAAUAUUAUAAAUAACAGGAUAAAUUUGGAAUUGACAGGCUUGCCAAAUAAAACAUUACCUCAACAGGGCCUUGAAUUUUUAACUGAAAUAUAACAGCAAUGACUAUAACCCUGGCACAUGGCAAAACAAAAGCCUUUUUUCUUGUCUAGUUGUCUGUUUGGUAAAUGCUACCUAAAAUGUCAUUACUGUAAAAGUGGAAACAUUCUCUCUCGCAGCCAUGUAACAACAUCAAGGGGUUCUACACUUUUAGAUUAACGUUUUUCUUUACUUCUCAGGCGCACAACUCCACUAACAAGGUCUCCAGUCAUACCACAAUUCAUUUCUCCAACUGCUCAUGCCCUAGACGUGCUCCUCCCCUGUUCUGAAGCCUUGUCCAGGGCUUGGGGUGGCAGGAGGGGCUUCUUGCGGGGCCCCAGCACUCCCACUGAAGCAGCCAAGCCCUCUGCACCUCCCAGAGGGCUUCAGCUGCAAGAGGAGGACACCAGUCCCAAGCGUCUUGUGAAUGAGGCCUAGAUUUUUAAUGAAGGGCAAGACAAGAUGAUUCAGGUGUGGCUUCAGUUCCUAGUGCAGCGGUUUUGCAAGAGCGAGGAUGCAACAGACAGGCUCGUUUUCUGCCCAGGGAGGCUAAGCCCACGUUGCCGCUUAAUGCAAAAAAUUGCUACACCUGCCUGGUGCCAAAUUUCCUCCUCUGUCAGACAGCCUGAGCAACUGAUGCUGAAAUCUGACCCUAAUUACUAACCAUAAAUGAUUCCACUCCUCUUUGCUCUCCCGGAGGGCCAAGAGUCCUCUGACACUACCCACAUUUUCUUCCUUUACUUCUCAUGUGCUCUCCCUAUGACCGAGCUGAUAGUUCAGCUCAGAGGAGACUUUGAGAAAGUAAGGUUGAUUUUUUUUUCACAUCCAGUGCUGAGCUCUGUAUUCGCAUUGCUGACUUUAAGUCAGUAACAAGCUUUGACCGAAGCUCCUCGCGUGGAAGGGAAGCUCCCGGGGACCAGCUCCCCUCGCAAAGCGUAUCACCGUGAAAGCACGACCGCUUUUGCAAAACCUUACAAGGAUUUUAUAAAGUACCUCCAUUCUGGCAGUUGUGUACAUUGCAUAUAAAUGAGACAAUUAAAAUGUGUUAUUGUUUUAGAACUAUCAAGUGACACUGGAGCCUUUUAAAUUAAAGAUCUAGUGAACCUAGCUACCUUCAAUACUAAUGACAAGGAUGAUAUAACGGGCUAUUUUUUGGCUGUAAAAUUGGAAACUAUGGAAGUGUGGUUGACAUUAUCAUACUUGAGUACUGAAGUCAUGUACUGAUGAGUAUGUGCUGUACCAAAUAAUAAAAUUAUUUCUCCCAGGCAGUUGAACACAUUUGCAAAUAUUCAAGGGGGUUUUCCCUCAGGCAAUUUUAUAAAUUUAGGUUUUAGCAUUUUGCAUAGUUUCUAUACUAAAUACCACUCCUAGAACAAAAGUGUUAGUGUACUAUAUAUAAAUCAUUUUGGUCUGCAUGUUCCUUAGCCUAUUUUCUUUUUAAACCAUUAUUAAGAAGUAAUGCUAGAUGCAAACCAUCUGAAACAUAAUAUAUUUGGUCUAUAGUAUUUCACAAGGGAAAAUGAGUUUCAUAUUUUCUUUUAAAUCACUUAUGCUCCUGUGAUUACAUGGACUAUGUAUGGUGACCUACACUUUUCCAGACAAACGUUUGGAUCUAUAGCAUGCUUCUGCUGAGGACUGUCUUCAAUCACGUGAGCUCUGUACAAACAAAACCUCUAGUUCUUGGUCUUAAAUUCUCCUGCGUGGUGUGUCACUCGAACAGAUUCUGGAUGUGCUGCAGCACAAUGUAUUCAUCUCUGUGUCAUACAGCUAAGACUUUGUUUUGUUGUCAGUAAACUUUCUUACUGAACUUUGUAAAAUUUCAAGACAAACUGUGUAACAAAAGAAAUGGGGGUAGUUCUCUGCAAGAGGAUCAGAGAAAGGGAAGAAGUCUUUCAUCAAGACAUUUUCCUUUAGCAGCAAGUCUUCAAGUUACAGGAGAGAUCCCCCUGCAAAGAGUACUCUAUAUUUUUUAAGAUCAUAAAGCUUUAAAAAUAAUUUUUAGGGAAAGUUACAUACCCUUUAACAAUUUCAUAUUUCAUUGAUAAUGUGCUCCACCUGGCAGGGAAAAAUGGAAGGUUGAUAAAAAGAAAUGGGCCAACUUCCACUCUCA
Molecule: non-coding RNA, 6943 nt
Organism: Phalacrocorax carbo (great cormorant)
Lineage: Eukaryota; Metazoa; Chordata; Aves; Suliformes; Phalacrocoracidae
Source: RefSeq, a predicted model, not a curated record